CUUCGCACUUCUGAUCUGCUCUCUGCAGCCAUUGUCUGUAAAUCAUAAGUGCCCAGAAUAUUCUGUAAGUAAAUUCUUCGAAGAAACUGUUCAUCAUCUCCAGCCUUUAUUUGGAUAACUAACAUUCUCACUAUCCGAAAUUAAACGAACAUGCGGAGGAAAAAAGCUUUCUCUAACAAUUGGUGACCUCGACGUGAUUUCGGACUGAGGUGUUGGUUGACAGACAGAACAUCGGCCGGCCAACAAUUGAUAAGCUCGGAGAGGUUAGGAAUCUGCAUCUUGUAUGAUCCAAUAAACCGCUGAGCUGACUGAUGAAUCUACAGGAACUUGACAGGUCGUUUGGGCCUAAUGGUGAGCCAGCUAUGUGCAAAGCAACUUAACAGAUGUUUCGGGGGGUCUUCUACACGGAGGCAACCAAUCAAUGGAAAGGGGGCCAUCUUCCCCAAAUAUGGACAAAGCAGAUACAAAACUGGGUCAAACAUAGGUAAGGAAGACCUUUUCUGGAUACUCCUUCUUCUUCUUCUUUUUCUUAAGGCUUGUCCAAAUAGGGGUCGCCACAGUGUGUCAUCUUUUUCCAUUUAAGCCUAUCUUGUGCAUCUUCCUCUCUAACAACCACUGUCCUCAUGUCCUCCCUCACAAC
This is a long non-coding RNA of Syngnathoides biaculeatus (alligator pipefish), 640 nucleotides long. RefSeq lists it as uncharacterized. The transcript has 3 exons. Lineage: Eukaryota; Metazoa; Chordata; Actinopteri; Syngnathiformes; Syngnathidae. The record is from RefSeq and is a predicted model, not a curated record.